This 2422-nucleotide long non-coding RNA is filed under the name Sorghum bicolor (sorghum). RNAcentral describes it as "long non-coding RNA (SBIC_LNC000555)". Lineage: Eukaryota; Viridiplantae; Streptophyta; Magnoliopsida; Poales; Poaceae. The record is from RNAcentral.
GGGACAGUUCGAGUUUAAAAGCUAGGUACUAAAAAAGUGUGGCAGAGCAACUAUUCAUCAUUUCCAUGUGAGUUAAACUUUGGUUUGGAAUUAAUCCUUGUAUCUUCUCCUUUUUAUUUAUUUAUUAACAAUUCUAAAAUCAUACGGAAAAAUAUGUAGGGAAAUCUUUAUUUGGUUUUUAAAUGUUUAUUCAUCUUUUUAUCUGUUUUCAUAAUCUAGGCAAAGCAACUUCAAAUUCAAAUUCAAAAAGGUGGUAGAAGUACUUAGCUAGAUACGCGGGGGUAUGCCCUCCCCCAAGCUGGAUGUUGAUGUGGUCUCUUGGUGUAGCAGACUGGCAGUGAAGAUACCUUCUCUGGUUGUCGGUCUUCCUGAUCCUUUAGAUUCUAUGGGGCUCAAAUAGACAACAAAGCUCGUGAAACUUGAUUAAGUGUUAGUGAUAAACCUCUAAGCCUUGAGUGUCUAGAACUUCACAUUUGAUUGAGCAUGUACUAUCCAGGAUCUUUUCUUUUUGGUAUUUUAAGUGUUUUUAUAUUUUUAUGGAUUUUUAAAUUUAUAAUGCAAAAGAGAAAAUGUAACUAGACUAUUUAUUUUUUUUAUUUUUGUGCCACCACGGUGAGUACUCUUUAUGGAUUGCCAUAAGGAUAUUCACAUGGGGCUUAACACACAUUAUUUUUUUCUAAUGCAAAAAGAUGUUGAACUAAGUGAUGAUGAUUAUGCGUAAAUUAAAUAUGCAAAAAGAUGUUCUUGUUACUCUUGGUGAUUGCCAGCACCUAGAUGGCUUGGAGCAUCGGUGGAGGUCUAGCAUGUGUUGGUGAUUGUUUGUAGCCGGCUCCGAUGAUCUUGUGAGGGGUUCUUAUGCCUUCCUCGGCCAAGUGCCAAAGACAACUCUAGUGGAUUGCUCGUGUCAUUGAGCUACCUCACUUGAGGGUAGGUUCUUGCAGUGUCCUACGUGAGGACGUGGUUCAUGCAACAUCUCUUAGCCACCGAACCACCAAGUGUUGGUUGACACAACAGGGACUAGCGUGCCGACAAGCACGUAAACCUCAGGAGAAAAAUCGUAUGUUUCAAUUGUGAUUGAUUGGCAUUCUCUAGGUAAUUAAUUGAUUCAUAUCUCGGUGAUUGAUUCAUCCCCUACGCGGCGGUAUAAACAUCACAUCCUCUCUAUUUAUAUUCCCACAAAGUAGUGUAAUUAGCUUUAGUUGCUAGCUUUGCCUUGUGUUGCUUAAUUCAUUAGUGUAGCUUGUAUUGACUUAGCUCUUGCGUGCCUAUUGACCUUACUAACUAGAAUUGUUGGCAUAGGCAGCUUGCAAAUUUUCAAUUAGAGCUAGAGCAAAAAGCUUCGCUUUGUUAUUUACUAACUCCUUGCUCUAGUGAGUUUGUAGAAAUCUUAAAUAGGCUAUUCACUCCCCACCCUUUAGCCAUAUUAGAACCUUUCAUGCUCUCUUAGCUACAUAGUAGAUGGGAUGAAAGGGAAUGAGAUGGAUGAGGUCCCUACCCUCCCUUAUGUAGGCGGAGGGGAUAGGGUUAUAAUGAGGACAAUCGGCUAAUAGAUUGGAUUACUAAUUUGUUACAUGAAAUGCAUAUAGAUUGAUCUCAUAUCAUCCUGAUACGCCAACUCCAUAUAUUCUUGGUAUGUCUUGAUGUUCAAGCCGGUUGCUCCAUUCAGUUUUCAUGGGCCUCCUUCCUCAUGGCCUCUGGCCUGAUAGUAGGACAUGGUCAAAUAUUACAGAUGGUGCGGGUACCUGCGACCCAUAUAUCCGAUAAUGUCUUUUCUCAUUUGAGGUCAUUUUAGAUUUCCAAAUUUUAUUGUGUUGCACCUAUUUUUAUAGGCACCUCUAGAUCUAGCUGUCUCUCUACAAACCUAUUUUUAGAGACAGCUCUACACUCAACCACCUUUAAAAAUCUAUUUGUAGAGGUGGCUAUAUCUAGAGUUGCCUCUAAAGAUACAGGCAAUUAUAAAGGUGGCUGAAAAUACAAACCAUCCCUACAAUUGUAUUUUUAGAGGCGGUUUCUUUCGGAAACUAUUUUGAGAGGCGAGUCUAGAUUGAGCCACCUUUAUUCAAAAAAGGAGAUCUGUUUACAAAUCAAUUCUGUAGUGCUGUAUUAAAUGCAUUAUAAUGAUAUAUUCAUGGAAAAUUUCAUAAAAAACAUCUGUUGUCGUAGAUGUUUAAAUAUUUUUAUAAACUUUGAGCAAAUCUAGAGUAGUUGACGAGAGAGUAUAUAUCACACUCGAGCAACCAACUAUGACCUAAGCCUAUUAAAAGGCAACCAUACAUGUUUGGCGAAGAUCGAUCUCCAGCAUCAUAUCGUAGAGAUAUAUAUGAACACACAACAACCAAUGUAUGUUUUAUGAGAUUGUUUGGUCUAAUCGAUUCAUUUGGUUUGUACGUUGCCAGGGAGCCAUUUUCACAAAUUUUGUACA